GUGAACUCAGAUCAUGUGAUCUGACUGUGCUAAGGUAGCAUAAUAAUUUGUUAUUUAAUUAGUAACUAGUAUGAAUGGCGGGACAAAUAAUUUAUUUUCUUAAUUUAAAAAGAACUUGAUUUAAGAAUUAAAAAGUUCUUAAAUUUUAGAAAGACGACAAGACCCUAAAAUCUUUACUUUAUUAGUUUUACUGGGGCGGUAUACAGUUUAACACAGGAUUUAAAAACAUAAUGGAUGAAUUUAUUAAACCUUAAUUUGAAUAAAAAAAGAUACUUUAGGGAUAACAGAAUAAUCUUUAUUAAGAGCUCGUAUCAACAUAAAAGUUUAUUACCUCGAUGUUGAAUUGAAUAUUCUUUAUGGAGCAGCCUCUAU
This 372-nucleotide ribosomal RNA is filed under the name Oroniscus dalmaticus. RNAcentral's name for it is "partial large subunit ribosomal RNA". It matches the Rfam family "Bacterial large subunit ribosomal RNA", at positions 1936 to 2565 of the family's 2925-position model. Lineage: Eukaryota; Metazoa; Arthropoda; Malacostraca; Isopoda; Oniscidae. The record is from RNAcentral.